RNAcentral lists this transfer RNA (63 nucleotides) under Empoascanara quarta. RNAcentral's name for it is "tRNA-Ile". Lineage: Eukaryota; Metazoa; Arthropoda; Insecta; Hemiptera; Cicadellidae. The record is from RNAcentral.
AAUAAGGUGCCUGACAAAAGGGUUAUCUUGAUAGGAUAGAUCAUGUAAAAUUUACCCUUAUUG